RNAcentral lists this ribosomal RNA (497 nucleotides) under uncultured bacterium. RNAcentral describes it as "partial 16S ribosomal RNA". It matches the Rfam family "Bacterial small subunit ribosomal RNA", at positions 28 to 507 of the family's 1533-position model. The record is from RNAcentral.
GAUGAACGCUGGCGGCGUGCCUAAUACAUGCAAGUCGAGCGAACAGACGAGGAGCUUGCUCCUCUGACGUUAGCGGCGGACGGGUGAGUAACACGUGGAUAACCUACCUAUAAGACUGGGAUAACUUCGGGAAACCGGAGCUAAUACCGGAUAAUAUAUUGAACCGCAUGGUUCAAUAGUGAAAGACGGUUUUGCUGUCACUUAUAGAUGGAUCCGCGCCGCAUUAGCUAGUUGGUAAGGUAACGGCUUACCAAGGCAACGAUGCGUAGCCGACCUGAUAGGGUGAUCGGCCACACUGGAACUGAGACACGGUCCAGACUCCUACGGGAGGCAGCAGUAGGGAAUCUUCCGCAAUGGGCGAAAGCUUGGCGGAGCAACGCCGCGUGAGUGAUGAAGGUCUUCGGAUCGUAAAACUCUGUUAUUAGGGAAGAACAAAUGUGUAAGUAACUAUGCACGUCUUGACGGUACCUAAUCAGAAAGCCACGGCUAACUACGUG